This 228-nucleotide ribosomal RNA is filed under the name uncultured bacterium. Its description in RNAcentral is "partial 16S ribosomal RNA". It matches the Rfam family "Bacterial small subunit ribosomal RNA", at positions 524 to 751 of the family's 1533-position model. The record is from RNAcentral.
UACGUAGGGUGCGAGCGUUAAUCGGAAUUACUGGGCGUAAAGCGUGCGCAGGCUGUUCUGUAAGUCAGAUGUGAAAUCCCCGAGCUCAACUUGGGAACUGCGUUUGAAACUACAGGACUAGAAUAUGUCAGAGGGGGGUAGAAUUCCACGUGUAGCAGUGAAAUGCGUAGAGAUGUGGAGGAAUACCAAUGGCGAAGGCAGCCCCCUGGGAUAAUAUUGACGCUCAUG